ACUUUGAGAUUGUUAACAAAUUUUAUUCCUUAAUAAAAGACUAUUCACAAUUCAGGAAAAAAAAAAAUAAAGACUGAACAGAUUCUGCGCAGGUCACCCAAAGUUUAGCACUUACUAUUUUUAAAGUCAUUGCCUUAAAGCUUAAAGUCCUACUGCUCUCUCAAGUAUGAUUGUGUAAUUUUGGGUUAAGGGGACUGAAGGGAAUUAUAUACAGCAGAUAUAGAGAUACUACGGCAGUAAAAACUAAGUAUAGUCUUUACUAAAACUCAGUUUGCAAGAUGCUCUGUUGUUGUGUGCAGACUGAUUUCUUGGGCCAUUUCUUGACAUUUUUCUCUGAAAACCUGAAGUCUUCCUUCCAGCAUUCAUACUCACUGUUAUACGUAGAGAAAGCCAAUCAUUGUGAUGAUAUGGCUGUAUCAUUAUUAAACAGUGCAGCCUAUGCGGUUCCUUUGUGCAUCACAGCACACCUAGGUUUCUCUUCGACCUUUCAAAUUUGGCCAAAAGAAUGGAUGAGGAAAUUAGGGUGUCUCUUUGCUGUUCUUUUCUUGUUACAUCCUGAUGUUAUAACCAAAACAUGGUUUGCAUUCCUCCGCCUUCAUCUGUUUCACCACAAAUAUAAUUACUUGAUGUGCAGCAUACUCAGCCUCCCCAUUGCAUCUCUUUGGAGGACUGCUGAAAGAAAGUGUUAGAUGGACUCUGACAUAUAUGCUCCAUUAUACAGCAUAAGUGAAUCUCAUAAACAGGAAAUCUCAUAAAGAGGAACAAAAAGGAAGAGAAACUGGAGUUUAGACUCCAUACCACUGGUCAAAUAUUGUACACUAUCCCGAGCACUGUCUGACUUCCCUGGAAAUUAAAUAAGGCAGUUUGACCUGCUGCUGCACACAUGCUAUGCUUUCAGAAGCCAUAUGUGGAAUUCCCCAAAACUCUUCUACAUUAAAUGCCAAACAUUAGAGAAAGCUUAAAGAAGUGUCAGCUCUUGGAAGAUCACAUCAGGAUCGAAAACCAGACCUGUCCAGACCUGUUCAAACUCAAGUCUUCAGCUUUUAUAUCAAAACUAGUAACAAAAAAAAUCUGUGUUUGGAUUCUGCUUGGUACAAAAUUUCAAUUUGCCUGCCUUUACUUAAACUAUUACUAAUGUAGAAGCAAGAAUAAGAGAGAAUUUUGAAAACGUGUUGCUGCAUGUAUCCUGAGAUUAGCACUAUAACUUCAGUAUUGUUCAUUUUAGACAAAUUUCCAGCAAUGGAGGAUAUUGUCCCCAAAACUCCACAUGCAUCCUCACCAGUGCAGAGCAGAAUGGAAGUGUCACCUCCCCUUGACCUGCUGGCAAAGCUGACAUCUUUCAUAAAGAUUGACAACUGUUUCUCCAUUAAAGAAUAAUAAUUUUAGUAAGAAUGUAUUGGCCCUUACAAGAACAUGCAUUUUCAGCUCUGACUGUUUCUCCCAAACCACACAAGGUAUUACUGACUGUCCUUAUUUACAGUUUUGAGCUUUUGGACAGACAUUCAACAUUGCAGCUGAAUAAAUAAGUUACAUGACGUUCUUUCCCGUACCA
Long non-coding RNA from Numida meleagris (helmeted guineafowl), 1552 nucleotides. The record is from Ensembl. Lineage: Eukaryota; Metazoa; Chordata; Aves; Galliformes; Numididae.